GAUGAACGCUAGCGGCAGGCCUAACACAUGCAAGUCGAGGGAGAGGUUUCCUUCGGGUAACCAACACCGGCGCACGGGUGCGUAACGCGUAUACAAUCUGCCUUUCACAUAGGGAUAGCCCGAAGAAAUUUGGAUUAAUACCUAAUGGUAUAUAAGAGCGGCAUCGUUUUUAUAUUAAAGCUACGGUGGUGAAAGAUGAGUAUGCGUUCUAUUAGCUAGUUGGAGAGGUAACGGCUCCCCAAGGCGACGAUAGAUAGGGGUUCUGAGAGGGAUGUCCCCCACACUGGUACUGAGAGACGGACCAGACUCCUACGGGAGGCAGCAGUGAGGAAUAUUGGAAAAUGGUCGGAAGACUGAUCCAGCCAUGACGCGUGCAGGAUGAAGGUCAUAUGGAUUGUAAACUGCUGUUGUAAGGGAAGAAUAAGGAGUACGUGUACUUUGAUGACGGUACCUUACGAAUAAGCAUCGGCUAACUACGUG
RNAcentral lists this ribosomal RNA (480 nucleotides) under uncultured bacterium. Its description in RNAcentral is "partial 16S ribosomal RNA". It matches the Rfam family "Bacterial small subunit ribosomal RNA", at positions 28 to 507 of the family's 1533-position model. The record is from RNAcentral.